UCACACAGGGACUUAGUAAAAACGUACUUUAUAGAAAACCAUCUGCAAAACUAAAAUAAAAAUAAGAAUGCACAUUUUAUACACAUAUUAGAUAAACUGCUGGAAAUCUUAGGAAUUAUUUUAAUGAAGGUGAUUGUAAAACAUGAAGCGCCUCGACUUUAUCAAAUCUGACACCAGACCAUGACUUCAGAAGUGUUAAUGUUGAAACGUGGAUGCAAAAGUGUCUAUUAACCACCAAUAGGUGGUCAGUUAGGAGUUUAAGAAACUCAGCCAGAGUUGGAUGAAGUCAGAAGAUGUAAAAGAUAUUUGGUAAAGGCAAUGUGAAGCCUCAUAGAAACCAAGGACAGGAAAAUGUUGGAAAAGAGACUCAAAUUUCUAUGGACUCACUCUCUCCCUCACUCCUCUCUUUUCUCUGUACACUUGCUUCAUUUCUCUUUUCCUUUCUACACAUUGGCCUCUGUUUUCUUGGUAGGAAACAUGGCAGCCAAAAGCCCUAAGCUUUACAUAUAACACAGUACAGGAAUCUAAAAAGAUCAAAUUAUCUUAGUUCCAAUAACAGAAUUUCCAAGCACCAACUCAGUGGUAUGAUAAAGAAUAUACCUGGGCCUUGUCCCUAGUUCCUGGCACAGAACUUUAAAAACCAUUGGAAUUUCCUGAAUAAUAAUUGUCUUUGUUAUGUUAAUGAAGCGGUCCCUGGUGAGCAUUGAAGAUAGCUCCAGGACAAUGAAGACUGGUCACCAGAAAGACCUGGUAUGUGACUAGACAGUUGGAACCUUUCAGGAGAGGAUGGGUGCUGGAGAUAGAGUCAAACACAUGGCCAAAGAUUUCACCAAUCAUACCACUUAAUGAAACCCCAAUAAAAACUCAACACCAGGGCUCUUCCUGGUUGGUGAAUACAGAGAUGUGUCAGGAGAGUGAGGUGCCCUGAUUCCGUGGGGAAGCGUGGACACUUUGUAUUUGAGUCUCUCCCACACCUUGCCCUAAGCAGCUUUUUCAUUAGGCUAGUUCUGAGUUUGUCCUUUAUAUGAAAAUUGUAAUCGUGAAUAAAGUGCGUCCUUGAGUUCUGUGAGUUCUAUUAAAUUAUGGAAACUGAAGGAGCCACAGAAACCCCCAAAUUUAAAGCAGAUCAUUCGAAGUGUGGCUGGCCUGGGGACCCCACUUGCAUCUGGUUUCUAAGAUCAGGGCAGUUUGGUGGAGGACUGAGCUCUUAACCUGUGCAGUCUGGUGCUAAUUCCAAAUAGUUAAUGCCAGAAUUGAAUUGUAGUCAACCCAUUUGGGAUGGAAACAAUGGACUCUGACCAGCCAAGCCUAAUUAAUGACAUCAAAAUAGUGGAAUAAUAUGCUUAUCCCAGCUUGAAUCUUCUUUCCACCCUGAACCAAUCAAUGGUCACAUUUAUAAACAUGGUGACAUCUAUGGUAACCAUGUGAAUUUAGAGGGGGAAGGCAGUUCCUAAAAAAGACAUGUUUGGCAGACAGUUUCCUGGCACUCUACUCCCACUGCUCAAAGCUUCCAUGACUGACCAAGUAUGUCCUGCAUUUCAUUCUUAAACCUAGUCAGAUCUACAGAUGGCUCCCCAAGCUAUAAAUUCAUACUGUCAUUCCACAUCGAAAGUACAUUCAAUGCUGAACCUCUAAAAUGAAAAAAAAAAAAUACUUUUCAGCAGCUAAAACAUCCUAUAUUAAAAUUGAGAGUUUAUAAAUAGUAACCAGAUCUUAUAAACAAUUGGCUGUGGAUUCCAUGUGUCUAGAGAAUUAUUCAGUGUUUUUUCUCAAGUAUGUAUUUUCUUUGGCAAAAUAGAUAAGUAGUCUCCUAAACACAACCCUGAAAAUAAAUGUAAGGUCUAUUCUGGUAUUACAUAUGCAAAAGAGGAGUAGUUUCCCAUGUGGUAUUGUGGUGAGCUAUAAUAUGCUUGCAAAGAACUAAAGCCUUGUAGAGCUAAAAGAAUAAGGAUGAACAUGAUCUAUGUUCACUAGCAAGGCACACACAGUGAGAGAAUGCUUUUGCCCUGCUCGACUACUUUCUGCCUGCAGAAAUCUUCCCUCCCACCCUAUGAAUGUGUUCUGUAUCUCCUAGCACCCCAGUGCAGUACUUCAUAAAUUAGAUCUUAGCUGUCUGUUUUGCAGUUGCCUGAAAAUUCAUUUGUUUCCCCCAGAAUAGGAAUUGAGAACGCGGUCUUCUAUUCUGUUUCGACCACAGUACCUAGAACAUAGCGGCAGCACAAUACAUAUCAGUUAUAUUUGCACUGUUUGAUGGUCUCUGGCAAUGACCUAAAUUCCUGAGUGUUGGUUUACAUGUGGGUAAAAAUGAAAGUAAUUAUAAUCCUUACUUCACUAAGUUGUUAUGAGGACUAAAAGCCCAUAAAUGCUACUGUUGUUGCUGUUGAUAACCAUGGCCCAGUCAGUAAUCAUUAUUCACUGAUUAGAAGCCAUCAGGCCCAAAGCAAGCUAUUAAUAGGUGGAGAAAUCACAAGAGACUAUUUCACAAGAGGUCCGAGUGACUGUUCUCAAAAUAAACAGCAAAUGAAAUCUCACUAUUCAGACAGACAUCCCCUUUUCUGGAAUCUCCAUAAUCAUUACACCCUAGAUAUUUUUAGAGUUUUUAAAAUACAGGUUGACCUACUUAUACAUUCAUAUUUUCUACUUAUUCAUUUGUUUGUAACAAGUCAUUAACAUAACUUAUUAGAAGUCAAAUAAUAUAGUUUUAGUUUGCUUUAUGCUACAUGUUUAGAAACUUUAUUGUACUUUAUAAUACUGCAAUAAAGAAAAAAAACCUCUGGGGCUUUUUCUCUUUAUUUCAUUAAACCUCUCUGCUCCAGAGUACUUGACAUUUGUCAUUUAUUUUUUAAACAAUCCAGCUCUGCUCACAUCUAAUUCCUAUCCUCUUUCCUGAGUUGUUAGUCAAUAAAAUACACAUAUUAUUGGAAGCAAUUUGUAAUAUAUAUAUAUAUAUAAAUUAUGUCAUUAGAAAUCAUUCUCAUGCUUAGAUUCUUUAUGAAAAUCAAAAUCAGGGGCACCUGGGUGGCUCAGUGGUUCAAUGUCUGCCUUCAGCUCAAGUCCUAAUCUUGGGGUCCUGGGAUCGAGUCCUACAUCGGGUUCCCCAUGGGGAGCCUGCUUCUCCCUCUGCCUAUGUCUCUGC
Molecule: long non-coding RNA, 3136 nt
Filed under: Canis lupus familiaris (dog)
Lineage: Eukaryota; Metazoa; Chordata; Mammalia; Carnivora; Canidae
Description: lncRNA (ENSCAFG00000053712.1)
Source: RNAcentral